Molecule: ribosomal RNA, 253 nt
Filed under: uncultured bacterium
Lineage: Bacteria
Description: partial 16S ribosomal RNA
Rfam family: Bacterial small subunit ribosomal RNA
Source: RNAcentral
UACGUAGGGUGCAAGCGUUGUCCGGAAUUAUUGGGCGUAAAGAGCUCGUAGGCGGUCUGUCGCGUCGGCUGUGAAAACCCGGAGCUCAACUCCGGGCCUGCAGUCGAUACGGGCAGACUGGAGUUCGGCAGGGGAGACUGGAAUUCCUAGUGUAGCGGUGAAAUGCGCAGAUAUCAGGAGGAACACCGGUGGCGAAGGCGGGUCUCUGGGCCGAUACUGACGCUGAGGAGCGAAAGCGUGGGGAGCGAACAGG